Molecule: ribosomal RNA, 373 nt
Filed under: uncultured bacterium
Lineage: Bacteria
Description: bacterial SSU rRNA
Rfam family: Bacterial small subunit ribosomal RNA
Source: RNAcentral
GACGAACGCUGGCGGCGUGCUUAACACAUGCAGGUCGAGCGGUAAGGCCCUUUCGGGGGUACACGAGCGGCGAACGGGUGAGUAACACGUGGGUGACCUGCCCUUAGCUCUGGGAUAAGCCUGGGAAACUGGGUCUAAUACCGGAUAUGACUCCAUGACGCAUGUUGUGGGGUGGAAAGCCUUGUGCGGCUAGGGAUGGGCCCGCGGCCUAUCAGCUUGUUGGUGGGGUGAUGGCCUACCAAGGCGACGACGGGUAGCCGGCCUGAGAGGGCGACCGGCCACACUGGGACUGAGACACGGCCCAGACUCCUACGGGAGGCAGCAGUGGGGAAUCUUGCGCAAUGGGCGAAAGCCUGACGCAGCGACGCCGCGU